This 63-nucleotide transfer RNA is filed under the name Hoplodactylus sp. Central Otago. RNAcentral describes it as "tRNA-Cys". Lineage: Eukaryota; Metazoa; Chordata; Lepidosauria; Squamata; Diplodactylidae. The record is from RNAcentral.
AAGUCCGGCAGUGCGGACACAUCGAAUUGCAAAUUCGAAGACGUCGUUUAUUCGGCCCGGACU